RNAcentral lists this ribosomal RNA (248 nucleotides) under uncultured bacterium. RNAcentral's name for it is "partial 16S ribosomal RNA". It matches the Rfam family "Bacterial small subunit ribosomal RNA", at positions 524 to 770 of the family's 1533-position model. The record is from RNAcentral.
UACGGAGGGGGCUAGCGUUGUUCGGAAUUACUGGGCGUAAAGCGCACGUAGGCGGAUCUUUAAGUCAGGGGUGAAAAUCCCGAGGCUCAACCUCGGAACUGCCUUUGAUACUGGGGAUCUCGAGUCCGGGAGAGGUGAGUGGAACUGCGAGUGUAGAGGUGAAAUUCGUAGAUAUUCGCAAGAACACCAGUGGCGAAGGCGGCUCACUGGCCCGGAACUGACGCUGAGGUGCGAAAGCGUGGGGAGCA